UAACACGUGGGUAAUCUACCCUUUGGAUCGGAAUAACCUGUCGAAAGACGGGCUAAUGCCAAGUAAGCUCUCUUGAACGUAAAGUUCGAGCGAGGAAAGAUGGUGCAAGCUAUCGCCGAUGGAUGAGCCUGCGUCCCAUUAGCUAGUUGGUGAGGUAAAAGCUCACCAAGGCUGUGAUGGGUACCUGGUCUGAGAGGAUGACCAGGCACACUGGAACUGAAACACGGUCCAGACUCCUACGGGAGGCAGCAGUAGGGAAUAUUGCGCAAUGGGGGAAACCCUGACGCAGCCACGCCGCGUGAGUGAGGAAGGCCUUCGGGUUGUAAAGCUCUGUCACCUGGGAAAAACGACUAUCUGGGGAAAGUUCAGGUAGUGUGAUGGUACCAGGGGAGGAAGCACCGGCAAACUCUGUGCCAGCAGCCGCGGUAAUACAGAGGGUGCAAGCGUUGUUCGGAUUUACUGGGCGUAAAGCGUGCGUAGGGGGUAUUGAGAGUCGCGGGUGAAAUCCCAGGGCUUAACCCUGGAACUGCCUGCGAGACCUCAGUACUAGAGUGUGAGAGGGGAUGGUGGAAUACCCAGUGUAGCGGUGAAAUGCGUAGAGAUUGGGUAGAACACCGGUGGCGAAGGCGACCAUCUGGCUCACAACUGACGCUCAGGCACGAAAGCGUGGGGAGCAAACAGGAUUAGAUACCCUGGUAGUCCACGCCGUAAACGAUGCAUACAAGCUGU
RNAcentral lists this ribosomal RNA (729 nucleotides) under uncultured bacterium. RNAcentral's name for it is "bacterial SSU rRNA". It matches the Rfam family "Bacterial small subunit ribosomal RNA", at positions 111 to 823 of the family's 1533-position model. The record is from RNAcentral.